AAUAAACCAAUUUUUCACUUUUUACCUACAAUUUUUGACUUUUCGUCUUAUUAAAAAAAAUUUCGAUUGAUAUUUUUUAUUAGAUGAUAAAUCAUAAAUAGUACUUUACGUGUGACUAAUUUUUUUCUAAUUUCCUAAAAAAAAUUUAAAUAAGACGGAUGAUCAAACGUUGGACACGAAAACCAAAGAAUUAGCUUUUU
This 200-nucleotide microRNA precursor is filed under the name Oryza brachyantha (malo sina). Its description in RNAcentral is "MIR812 microRNA precursor family". It matches the Rfam family "MIR812 microRNA precursor family". Lineage: Eukaryota; Viridiplantae; Streptophyta; Magnoliopsida; Poales; Poaceae. The record is from Rfam by way of RNAcentral.